This 490-nucleotide ribosomal RNA is filed under the name uncultured bacterium. RNAcentral's name for it is "partial 16S ribosomal RNA". It matches the Rfam family "Bacterial small subunit ribosomal RNA", at positions 28 to 507 of the family's 1533-position model. The record is from RNAcentral.
GAUGAACGCUGGCUACAGGCUUAACACAUGCAAGUCGAGGGGAAACGACGGGGAAGCUUGCUUCCCCGGGCGUCGACCGGCGCACGGGUGAGUAACGCGUAUCCAACCUGCCUCUGACUGAGGGAUAACCCGUCGAAAGUCGGCCUAAUACCUCAUGGCAUCGUCUGCGGGCAUCCAACGACGAUUAAAGAUUUCAUCGGUCAGGGAUGGGGAUGCGUCUGAUUAGCUUGUUGGCGGGGUAACGGCCCACCAAGGCUACGAUCAGUAGGGGUUCUGAGAGGAAGGUCCCCCACAUUGGAACUGAGACACGGUCCAAACUCCUACGGGAGGCAGCAGUGAGGAAUAUUGGUCAAUGGGCGGGAGCCUGAACCAGCCAAGUAGCGUGCAGGAUGACGGCCCUAUGGGUUGUAAACUGCUUUUAUGCGGGGAUAAAGUGAGGGACGUGUCCUUCAUUGCAGGUACCGCAUGAAUAAGGCCGGCUAAUUCCGUG